CAGCAGCCACGGGAAUACGAAGGGUGCAAGCGUUACUCGGAAUUACUGGGCGUAAAGCGUGCGUAGGUGGUGGUUUAAGUCCGUUGUGAAAGCCCUGGGCUCAACCUGGGAAUUGCAGUGGAUACUGGGUCACUAGAGUGUGGUAGAGGAUAGUGGAAUUUCCGGUGUAGCAGUGAAAUGCGUAGAGAUCGGAAGGAACAUCUGUGGCGAAGGCGACUAUCUGGGCCAACACUGACACUGAGGCACGAAAGCGUGGGGAGCAAACAGGAUUAGAUACCCCCGUAGUCCCUGUCUCUUAUAU
This 301-nucleotide ribosomal RNA is filed under the name uncultured bacterium. RNAcentral describes it as "partial 16S ribosomal RNA". It matches the Rfam family "Bacterial small subunit ribosomal RNA", at positions 509 to 809 of the family's 1533-position model. The record is from RNAcentral.